Lontra canadensis (Northern American river otter) is the source of this 269-nucleotide long non-coding RNA. RefSeq lists it as uncharacterized. The transcript is spliced from 3 exons. The record is from RefSeq and is a predicted model, not a curated record. Lineage: Eukaryota; Metazoa; Chordata; Mammalia; Carnivora; Mustelidae.
CGCUCGGCUUCCUCUCCCUAGAGACAAGCCGUCUUUUAAUUUCUUCAGCGGGGAAAACCAAGUUAAUGCAGUCUCGUUCGUAGCCAGAUGGUGGCUGCACCUCCAGGCAUCAAGGCUAUGUUCCACACAGGAAAAGAGGAGAAUGACAAAGAUAAAAAGCUUUCUCUAGGCACCUCCUGGCUGGCUUUGACAAAGCAAACUGCCAUGUUAUAAACUGCCUAUGGAAAAGGCCAUGUGGCAAGGAGCAGGUGACAGCCAGCAAAGAACUG